GUCUGUAGAAAAUCACCUUCCGCCUCUAUGGUGGACACCAGUGAGAUCGGGCACCUAAAGCCAGCGUGGCCUCAGCUCAUCUCCCGCAGUGCGUGCAGGUGAAACCCAGCCCCCAACACGC
Small nucleolar RNA from Erinaceus europaeus (western European hedgehog), 121 nucleotides. The record is from Ensembl. Lineage: Eukaryota; Metazoa; Chordata; Mammalia; Eulipotyphla; Erinaceidae.